Long non-coding RNA from Amphimedon queenslandica, 746 nucleotides. RefSeq lists it as uncharacterized. The record is from RefSeq and is a predicted model, not a curated record. The transcript is spliced from 4 exons. Lineage: Eukaryota; Metazoa; Porifera; Demospongiae; Haplosclerida; Niphatidae.
UACCUCCUCUGUAGGACUCUCUCUUUCAAGAAACUCGCUCAAAUGUUCCACUUCCCAAACGUCUUCGCUAGCCACGUGAAAACACGUGGUUCUUCAUAAGCCUCAAGAUUAAGACAAUCACUUGUUGCUUUAGAAUCAAAGAUAUCUUAGUCUCAAAAUGGCAAGAUCUCCUUAUUACAGAUAAGGUAUAGAGCAAUAGAAUAAUGGCAAAACAGUUGGAGCAGUUUUAUGAAUUUCCAGAGGAUUAUGCCUCAGCACAGACAAAUGAGAAUAUGUAUGAACUUCCAGAAAUUCAUAGGAAUGAAGAAAAGAAAAGCCAUCUAUCUACUCCUGCAGAACUAACUGUAUCUCCUGAUGUAGCAAUAGGGCCUAAACAAAGGCAGUCAUCUUGGAGUAAACCACAGCUUUGUAUGACAGUAUUACUCUGUCUCAUAUUGAUAUUAUUAAUAAUUAUACUGGGCAUUGUAGUGUAUGAUAAGUAUGCUACUGGUAAUAAUGUUGAGUGUACUAAUACUGCAACUGGUGCUAGCAGUAGUAGUAAUACAAAUGAAUGGGCUGAUCGUAUAGCUCAAAAUAUUAGCCAGAAAAUUCCCAACUUCAAUGAAUGGGCCGAUCGUGUAGCUAAAAAAGUUUUUAAUGACAGCCUAAAUAUCAGUGAAGGGGCUGUUCAUGUAAUCAAUGAAACAAUAAUGCAGAGCCUUCCUGACUUCAAUGAAUGGGCUAAUGGUGUUGUCUCUAAAGUUAAC